Molecule: ribosomal RNA, 1020 nt
Filed under: Bacillus licheniformis
Lineage: Bacteria; Bacillati; Bacillota; Bacilli; Caryophanales; Bacillaceae
Description: bacterial SSU rRNA
Rfam family: Bacterial small subunit ribosomal RNA
Source: RNAcentral
CGCGUGAGUGAUGAAGUUUUCGGAUCGUAAACUUCGUUGUUAGGGAAGAACAAGUACCGUUCGAUAGGGCGGUACUGACGGUACCUAACCAGAAAGCACGGCUAACUACGUGCCAGCAGCCGCGGUAAUACGUAGGUGGCAAGCGUUGUCCGGAAUAUUGGGCGUAAAGCGCGCGCAGGCGGUUUCUUAAGUCUGAUGUGAAAGCCCCCGGCUCAACCCGGGGAGGGUCAUUGGAAACUGGGGAACUUGAGUGCAGAAGAGGAGAGUGGAAUUUCCACGUGUAGCGGUGAAAUGCGUAGAGAUGUGGAGGAACACCAGUGGCGAAGGCGACUCUCUGGUCUGUAACUGACGCUGAGGCGCGAAAGCGUGGGGAGCGAACAGGAUUAGAUACCCUGGUAGUCCACGCCGUAAACGAUGAGUGCUAAGUGUUAGAGGGUUUCCGCCCUUUAGUGCUGCAGCAAACGCAUUAAGCACUCCGCCUGGGGAGUACGGUCGCAAGACUGAAACUCAAAGGAAUUGACGGGGGCCCGCACAAGCGGUGGAGCAUGUGGUUUAAUUCGAAGCAACGCGAAGAACCUUACCAGGUCUUGACAUCCUCUGACAACCCUAGAGAUAGGGCUUCCCCUUCGGGGGCAGAGUGACAGGUGGUGCAUGGUUGUCGUCAGCUCGUGUCGUGAGAUGUUGGGUUAAGUCCCGCAACGAGCGCAACCCUUGAUCUUAGUUGCCAGCAUUCAGUUGGGCACUCUAAGGUGACUGCCGGUGACAAACCGGAGGAAGGUGGGGAUGACGUCAAAUCAUCAUGCCCCUUAUGACCUGGGCUACACACGUGCUACAAUGGGCAGAACAAAGGGCAGCGAAGCCGCGAGGCUAAGCCAAUCCCACAAAUCUGUUCUCAGUUCGGAUCGCAGUCUGCAACUCGACUGCGUGAAGCUGGAAUCGCUAGUAAUAGCGGAUCAGCACGCCGCGAUGAAUACGUUCCCGGCCCUAGUUCGCACCGCCCGUCACCCCACGAGAGUUUGU